AUUGAACGCUGGCGGCAUGCUUUACACAUGCAAGUCGAACGGUAACAGGGUGCUUGCACCGCUGACGAGUGGCGAACGGGUGAGUAAUGCAUCGGAAUGUACCGUGUAAUGGGGGAUAGCUCGGCGAAAGCCGGAUUAAUACCGCAUACGCCCUGAGGGGGAAAGUGGGGGACCGAAAGGCCUCACGUUAUACGAGCAGCCGAUGUCUGAUUAGCUAGUUGGUGAGGUAAAGGCUCACCAAGGCGUCGAUCAGUAGCGGGUCUGAGAGGAUGAUCCGCCACACUGGGACUGAGACACGGCCCAGACUCCUACGGGAGGCAGCAGUGGGGAAUUUUGGACAAUGGGCGCAAGCCUGAUCCAGCCAUGCCGCGUGUCUGAAGAAGGCCUUCGGGUUGUAAAGGACUUUUGUCCGGGAGCAAAUCCUAGUGGUUAGUAACCGCUGGGUCUGAGAGUACCGGAAGAAUAAGCACCGGCUAACUACGUG
Molecule: ribosomal RNA, 484 nt
Filed under: uncultured bacterium
Lineage: Bacteria
Description: partial 16S ribosomal RNA
Rfam family: Bacterial small subunit ribosomal RNA
Source: RNAcentral